UCUUUCUGUGAAUGUGGUUUUUUUUCCCACAGGCUGCAGGAUUGUAGUUCUUCUUGCUUCUUCUCUCUGCCUUCUGGUGGAUGAGCCUAUCUAAGAGGCUUUUGCAAGCUUCCUGACGGGGGGGACUGGUGGUGGGUAGAGCUGACUGUUGCUCUGGUGGGCAGAGCUCAGUAAAACUUUAAUCCACUUGUCUGCUGAUGGGUGGGGCUGGGUUCCCUCCCUGUUGGUUGUUUGGGCUGAGGUAACCCAACACUGGAGCCUACCUGGGCUCUUUGUUGGGGCUAAUGGCGGACUUUGGGAGGGCUCACACCAAGGAGUACUCCCCAGAACUUCUGCUGCCAGUGUCCUUGUCCUAAUGGUGAGACACAGCCACCCCCCCCCUCUGCAGGAGACCCUCCAACACUAGCAGGCACAAGAAGCCAGUCAAUUACUCCCAGUUUGAGGACUCUGAUAGUGAUGAUGAUUUUGUUCCUGCAACCGCACCGUUAAAUAAAAACUCCAGAACUACACAAAAGGAGUUAAAACUAGAAAAACCGGAACCUAAACUGAAGAAUCUCCAGGAAAAAGACAUCCCACUACAAGAGAAAACCCCUAAAAAAAAGGUGAGAGAAUGCCUUUAGACGAUAAGCUCUACCAGAGAGACCUAGAAGUCGCACUGGCUUUAUCAGUGAAGGAACUUCCAACCGUCACCAUUGAUGUGGAGGAGUCUCAAGAUAAAAGUAACUUUAUUUUCGCUAAUUCUCUUUAAAAUCUUCUUAUUGCGUUUGUAAUCAUUUCGUUGGAUGAGCCUUUACAGAGGGAAAAAUGUAGUUUUAAAACCUUGGACUAAAAAGGGAGCAAUUUGCAGGUGGUGCCGUUGGAUUCAGUUGUUUAUUCAGUUGCAUAAAUCUCAUCCACACAUAAAUACCUUUCUGCCUAUAACACUCAGAUGCAGCUGGAGGACGCGGACUAUGACGCUGCGUGUCCAAAGUUCACCUGUAUAUGCGGUGAAGAUUUAACUUCAUCAUCAAAUAAGUGGACCUGUACAUCCGAGCAAUCCAC
Molecule: long non-coding RNA, 1041 nt
Organism: Physeter macrocephalus (sperm whale)
Lineage: Eukaryota; Metazoa; Chordata; Mammalia; Artiodactyla; Physeteridae
Exons: 4
Source: RefSeq, a predicted model, not a curated record